UUUUUUUUCUUAUUUGAAAAUAUCUGUCCAUCGCAUUAAAGUUUUGAAUCACGUAGUAGCUAUAAGUUGCUUCCUCCACUAUUUCUUGCAAAUAUCACUUACAACUUUUGCAACAAAGGUGUUUGAUGAUAUGUAUGACUCAUUCUAUUUGUGUAACAAAACACACAAAUCUUAUUUUCCACUUCCCCUUGGUAGAGUUAUGCUUUUUUAAUGCUUUCAAGUUGGCUUCUCAGUGUCCAAACCAUGGGAAUGAUUUUCAAAUUCCAAGGAAGACUAAACAGUACCUUAUCUGGGAGCAUCUUAUGAAGCCAUUCAAGGAAAACUAAACAGAACCUGAUCUGGGAUCAUUUUUUUUUUCAAGUUCAGUGUGUAUUUGUGGAUAUGCCAUUUUGUUGUUUGAAGACUUCCACCACAUGUAUUUGAGAUUUCAAAUGGAAUAUAGUUUGAAAUGAA
Long non-coding RNA from Lycium barbarum (goji berry), 453 nucleotides. RefSeq lists it as uncharacterized. The record is from RefSeq and is a predicted model, not a curated record. NCBI's taxonomy places the organism in Eukaryota, Viridiplantae, Streptophyta, Magnoliopsida, Solanales, Solanaceae. The transcript is spliced from 2 exons.